ACCUCCAGCUUCCCCUUGGUAGACAGACAGACAGGCAGACAGACUGCUCUCCUCCCUGCUUGUCAAACUGUCUCCCCUGACUCCCACUUUAGGUUCACAGGUGUGUACCUGGGAAGUACGAGCCACUCCUCCUCUCAGCCUACGGUUUGACCCUCAUCCCCCCUCCCCCCCAGGCUGGUUUGGAUUUCUGUGUAGAGUCUCCUUGGAGAUAGAGACAACCCCUGGGGGCUUUGUCAUAGGGACCUGGGUCCAGCAAUGCCCCAAUAGAGACUUCCUGGAGAGCUGACCACCGAGGAGAAUUGGAAACACUAAAAGCUCCUGUGUGUUUUGCCCCAUGGGCUGUGAUGAAGCCCUGGGAGGGAGGUGGGAAGGACCGAAAUCAAGAUUGCCUUUAUGGAGGAGAGAAAGCUAAAGGUAGGUUCCAGGUGAGCUCUAAGCUCAGGGUUUUGGAGUCCGGGGCACACCCAUUCUUCCUUCUCUCUUCAUUUUCCUACCAAUGUUGAGACUGGAGCUCAGUUGCCAAAGGAACCAGAAAAGGAAGAAAUUGACGACGACUCUGGGGCUUGGGCCAGCAGAUACGGGACACAGGUGGCAGGUGGCUCUAAAUAACCCCUAUUCCUGCCUAUGAGGACAGGACUCAGAGCUCAGGAACCACUUGUGGCUGCCUAGGAGUUGGAUGCAUCUUAGAAGCCUCAUCCAGAUUCAGGGAAGAGGCGGUGAAACUUCCGACAUCGGUUUGGAAAUUGAUGAAUCUUCACUCGGCCACAUGAUCAAAAAGCAAGUUGGGAAAGAAAGGGUUUAUUUGGCUUACAGUUCCAGAGUUCACCAACCUAUUUUUUUUUUUUAACCCUCCCCAGAAGGAAAACAGUAAUACUGUCUUGGUGGAGGUGCAUCAGGAAUGGUAUAUGACUUCCACCCAGAAGGCGAGAGGAGCUGGCUUCUUGUCUGUUAUGUGCCGUCCCAGGUUCUGGCACACUAGAGCCAGGGCACCUGUGUGCAGGUCAGAGAACAAUUCGUGGGGGCCAGAGACGGAGCUCAGGUUAGAGACUGUGGCUUGCCACAGUACCCUUUCAUAGUUUGUGGUUUUGUUCCCAGCUCGGAAGCACUCUUUACCAUUUGUAAGAAGAAAGGACAUUCCAGGAAACCCUAAGCCAAAGUCCUGCCUGUCUGUUGGUGUACAGUGAUAAUAAAUAGUGGCAGCAACAACAACUAUUGUUAUUAUUUUGAGACAAGAUCUCAUGUAGUCCAGGCUGGUGUCAAACUUGAUUUGUAGCUGAGGAUGACCUUGAACUUCUUAUCAUUUGGCCUGCAGAGAUCAUAAGAGUAUAAUCUACACUGGUUUUAUGUGGUACUUGGGGUAGAACCCAGGCCCCUCAAAUACUAGGAAGUGCUGAGCUCUGCAGCCUCAAUCUGCAGUCCUACUAUUUGAUGGACACUUGAAUGCAUCAAGCAUGUGGUAGCCUGGUUUUGAGUGUUUUACAUAUUUGUAACUAAAAAAAAAUUAUUAUUAUUAUUAUUAUUUUUUUAAAAAAACAGGGCCUCACUAUGUAGUCCUGACUUGGAACUUACAGAGAGCUACUGGCCACACCUCUGGACUGCUGGGGUCAAAGGUCUACAUUAUUACAUCUGGCUCAUUUAAUUUUUUAAAGUUUAUUUUAUCUUAUGUGUAUGAAUAUUUUGCCUGUAUAUAUGUCUGUGCACUAAAUGCAUACAUUCCUAGGAAGACCAGAAGAGGGUGUUGGAUCCCCUGGGACUGGAGUUAUAGAUGGUUGUGAAUGGAUCAUCAAGUGGUUCUGAGAACUGAACCCUGUGGGAAUGAAACUCAGGGCUUUACUCCUGCAAGGCAAGCAGUCCAUCGCUGAACUGCACCCACCGCUGAACUGCACCCCACCACUGAACUGCACCCCACCGCUGAACUGCACCCCAUCACUGAACUGCACCCCACCAUUGAACUGCACCCCACCGCUGAACUGCACCCCACUGUUGAACUGCACCCCAUCACUGAACUGCACCCCACCACUGAACUGCACCCCACCGCUGAACUGCACCCACCGCUGAACUGCACCCCACCACUGAACUGCACCCACCGCUGAACUGCACCCCAAGCAGAGCUUGCUUUAUGGUGCAGCUGUGAUUACUGCGAUCACUGACUGUCGUUCCUGCCAGCGGGCUCCAUUUGGACAUCUAGAAUCAUCCCCGACAUGACUCAUCUUGAACCCCAAGCUUCUGCAGCAUUGUCUCUCUCAGUAGAUGACAACUGGAUUCCUCAGAAACUCAGGACAAAAAUCUUGGAGUCAUCUUGCUCUUUCUUUUUUUCUCUCACAUCCCAAAUAGAAUUCAUUAGGAAAUCCAUUCUCUCUCCCUGGAAUACAUUCAGAGUGUGGCCACUGUGGCCUUUGCCUGUGUCACCCUGACUGGACCCUCCACAUUGUCUUCUUGCUUCUAUCCAGUUUGAUCUGUGCUUUGCCUUCAACACAGCAUCCAGAAGGUUCUUGACACUUGAGUUAAGUCACGUUUGCUAAUGCUCUGACUUCCUGUCUUUUUGUUGAGACCUGAUGGCCUGUGAACUGCCUUCCCACACCUGUUCCUCUGCUUAUCUCCACCAUGUUGGUUGUUCUCAGAUGUGCCAAACACUUCUCUGUCUGAAGGACUUUCUACUACUGUUGCCUUUGCCGUAGCAAAAACAGAUUAUUUUUUUUCUCUUUAGAAAAUAAUUAAAUAAGAAUUUCUGUCCUGUUCUCCUCA
RNAcentral lists this long non-coding RNA (2745 nucleotides) under Mus musculus (house mouse). RNAcentral's name for it is "RIKEN cDNA 9830166K06 gene (9830166K06Rik)". The record is from RNAcentral. Lineage: Eukaryota; Metazoa; Chordata; Mammalia; Rodentia; Muridae.